UAGCCUUGCGGCCGUACUCCCCAGGCGGGGCACUUAAUGCGUUAGCUGCGGCACGGGAGGAGUGGAUACCCCCCACACCUAGUGCCCAUCGUUUACCGCGUGGACUACCAGGGUAUCUAAUCCUGUUUGCUCCCCACGCUUUCGCGUCUCAGCGUCAGUAUCGGUCCAGGAGGCCGCUUUCGCCACCGGUGUUCCUCCCAAUAUCUACGAAUUUCACCUCUACACUGGGAAUUCCGCCUCCCUCUCCCGUACUCAAGCCUUGCCGUUUCAGAUGCACUUCCCCGGUUGAGCCGAGGGCUUUCACAUCUGACUUACAAGGCCGCCUACACGCGCUUUACGCCCAGUAAUUCCGAACAACGCUUGCACCCUCCGUAUUACCGCGGCUGCUGGCACGGAGUUAGCCGGUGCUUCUUCCUACGGUACCGUCAGGCUCCGCGGAUUAUCCCCGCGGAACUUUCGUCCCGUCCGAAAGGGCUUUACGACCCGAAGGCCUUCUUCACCCACGCGGCGUUGCUGCGUCAGGGUUUCCCCCAUUGCGCAAUAUUCCUCA
RNAcentral lists this ribosomal RNA (550 nucleotides) under uncultured bacterium. RNAcentral's name for it is "partial 16S ribosomal RNA". The record is from RNAcentral.